Molecule: ribosomal RNA, 403 nt
Filed under: uncultured bacterium
Lineage: Bacteria
Description: partial 16S ribosomal RNA
Rfam family: Bacterial small subunit ribosomal RNA
Source: RNAcentral
AUUGAACGCUGGCGGCAGGCCUAACACAUGCAAGUCGAGCGAGCGGCGGACGGGUGAGUAAUGUAUGGGGACUGCCCGAUCGAGGGGGAUAACUAAUGGAAACGGUAGCUAAUACCGCAUACUAUCGGAUAACCCAUAUGGGAUUAGCUAGUAGGUGAGGUAAGGGCUCACCGAGGCGACGAUCCCUAGAUGGUCUGAGAGGAUGCUCAGCCACACUGGGACUGAGACACGGCCCAGACUCCUACGGAGGCAGCAGUGGGGAAUAUUGCACAAUGGGCGCAAGCCUGAUGCAGCCAUGCCGCGUGUAUGAAGAAGGCCCUAGGGUUGUAAAGUACUUUCAGUCGGGAGGCGUUACCGACAGAAGAAGCACCGGCUAACUCCGUGCCAGCCGCCGCGGUAAUUC